This 807-nucleotide long non-coding RNA is filed under the name Olea europaea subsp. europaea. The record is from RNAcentral. Lineage: Eukaryota; Viridiplantae; Streptophyta; Magnoliopsida; Lamiales; Oleaceae.
CCUCACUUUAUAAUUAAUAUCUCAAAAUAAUGUGUUGUUCUUUGUACAAUGAAUAAGGUCAUGUAUGGGCAGACUCAAAAUAAAUACUAAUCGAAACCUCGAUUCUAUAAACAAAUCCAAAUAAACUAGGAAACUAUAAACUGAAUACUGCAAAAUAAUGAAAAUUCCUUUAAACCAUCUGAAAUAGGGGGAAAAACACUAAAACAGACAGUGGAAUUUGACACUAAUAAUUUGUCAAUGUCAUUUAAUAAAAAUUUGAAGAAUCGAAAAACACUCUUGGAUUGUACUUAUGGACAAAAAUUCGAUAAUUGAGUUGAAAGUUUUAUACAUGCUUCUUAUUUUCCUUUAACUUGAAUAAACUACACUAACGUUGGCUCUUUUUUUACACCUAUCUUGAAACUUUGUGUCUUGCUUGUUGCACUUGAACUCUUGGCCCACUUAGCUUAGAUGAAUCCUUGCAUGGCUCCUUGAUCUUCUUUACUCUUGACCUCGUUAUCGAUCCCUCUAGAUAAUACAAUGAACUUUGCGGGCUUGUCUUUCAUGAUUAUCAUAAUUCACUUCAUCUUCAAAAGGAUUGGACCUCAAAUCUUAACCUGCAUCAAAGAGAAACAGAGAUUAGCAACAUUAGAAGUAGCAAACACAUUAUACUCACCGAAAGGUCUAGCUAGUAGGCAUUGUCAUUAAUUUUCUCAAGUACUUGAAUGGUCCAUCUCCUCUAGAAUGCAAUUUAGAACUUCAUUGUGCUGGAAAACCUUCUUUCUAUAUGUGUACCCCAACCCAUUCAUCUAGUUCAAAUGUCACACAUCU